CAGUGCAAGGCACCUGCUUCAAACAGUUACAUUCAUAAACACCUAAACUCUACGAAACCAAAAAAGUGUUGCUAUAUCCAAUUACAGACUACAUACGGCCAUAACUUUAGUACAUUUUAAUGAGUUAAUAAAUCAUCAUUCUAAAAAUACUUCUCAUAAGCACGUAGAUGUGUAGAUGUACAAAUGUUUGCCGGUGCACCUAUCUCUCUGCCGAAAUAUUGUAUCGAUCGGAAGAUAAAUUUCGAUAAGGACUGAUAAGUUUUGUUAUAGUUUUAAAUAGUAAGAACGGUCACUAGGCUUCAGUCGUGGACAACUGUCAGACUCGCGAUCAGUGAUUACAAAGUUUUUCUAAUUUAAAUCAACAAAAUGUGCUGCUGUGUGUGUAAUCUCUUGUGCAAGAUCCUCAGUUUGAUCGUGUCUCUACUGUUCAUCGUGGCUGUAAUACUGCUCAUCCUAUGGGGCGUUGGAGUAAUAUUUGGCAAUAAUAAUACCGACACCGCCAAAGCGCUGAGCUUUAACGAAAUGACCUACAAUAACCCGAAACUACUUUGAUUACAACGGCAACCUAUCUUCAUAAAUCUUACUAUACUUAUAAUACGAAAAAUGCAAUGCUGUGUACUCGUCAAUAUACACUAAAAGAUCAAAAUGUAACUUCUCUCUCACUGUUUUAAUUGUAUAAAUUAUUACUUAUUAUAAUAUAAUGUAAGCUAUUUUCUAAUCUUCAUUCUUUUCUUUCUCUCCUUCUCUUUAGUUUUAAUUGUAAAUAUAGCUUAAGUUAUAAAUAUAAACGUUGCUAGUUAUGAAUAUAUUGCACUAUAUUGUAUAUCUAGCUUCACGCAUUCAAUGCAUUUUAAAAACAUGUGACUAUUGGAUAAAACAUAGACUGAAUCUUGUCUGAAUCUUUGACUUUUAUGAUCAAAGGUCUAUUGACUUGUAACCCAACAAUCGCAUGUGUAAGUUCGCUUUUAUAUACAGUAUGUCUAUGAAUAUCUUAGCUGAUAGCAAAGAACAAACAACUAACAAAUUAUUCGAAUUACCUCCAUCAAUUACGUAUUUGACCUGAACCAAUUGAUAGAGCAUAUAUGUAAGUAAAUUGCCCGUAGUUAGUAGGUAAGUACAUGGUUACACUUCGUUUGUUUUGAGUAACUUAUGAUGUAUCACAUUUCUUUAUCUAACAAUUAAUGAAAAGAUAUUUUAGACAUUAAGCUCUAACACAGUUUAAGGUACCCAUGUACAAAUAUGGCUAGCAAAUAAAUGUUCAAAUAGUUGGUUGUUAUUUACUCGCUUAAGUCAAAAUUAUCUUGAUCACACUAUAUCUGCUUAAAUAAUAACAAUGUACUGGGAUCAAUCUAUCAUCACUGACUAUAGUAGCCAAGCAAUAAGCCUGAUAUAGUGUUGAUGUCGCCAUGUGGAAUGUCAACACAGCUGUUAUUGUGCCUAUUGUCGUUACGGCAAAUGGUCUAAUAACCAAGAGCCUCGACCAACACCUCAUGAGGCUCUCGUUAGGUGGCUAGAUCAAGGGUCUGAUUCAGAGGGCAGUACUCCUUGAUACGGCGCGUAUUGUGAUGAUGUUUCUGUCCCUGGGGCCCUACAUACCGGUACCUUGUGGCUGAUGUCGCGAUGUCAGUGACCACUUAUUUUUAUAUUUUUAAAUGUUUUUAUAUUUAUAUUUAAAAAAAAAAAACAUUAUGUUAUGUAAACAAUUUAAUGAAUAAACGAAAUAAUAUUAUCAUCGGUUUCCCCAUUCCUUUUCCGUUGCCAUCCCAUCACAAUAGGCCGAGUAGUUACCAUGAGGUCUGAACACAUGUAACUCACUCUACUUAGCAUUGUACUUGAGUCACAAUAAAAAGUACGAUCAAGAAGAGUUUUUGUCCAUUAUUUUCAUCCAUAAACAAUUUUGAAGUUUUAGACAGACCUGUCAAAGUAAUUUGUAAGAAUGUCACCAGUUCAGUCUUUGCUAACGCUAAAUAUUAUAAUUAACACGUUAAUUUCGGGAAUAGAACUAACUACAGAAUAAUUAUUUGUUUAUAACGCUUAGGAGUCAUCAUAUAAUUGUGGAAACCUAUGGAUUUAUAGUAAGAAGCAGAAAACACAAUCAUGUGGUAACUAUGUUUUACUUUUCGAAAAGACACUUCGAAUUGAACCCUCUUAUGGCAAUAAGAGAACUGUAUGCAUUUAGGCACCAUAACCAUUCGUCAUUUUAUUCUCAAUAAAAAACAACAGUUUUGUAUGGAAGCCACUUUAUUCAACAAAUUCUCCUACUAUAAUAUUACUUGCACCUCACAACGCAAUAUAAAACACUAACAUGUCAGUUAUUUUAGGAAUUAUAAAAUACGACCAGUACAAGUUCACAGCGAGUUUGAAAUAAAUAAAAUGUAAACAAUAGCCAACUGGUCACGGACGAUUCUAUUUCGAAGUUUUAUGCGUUGGUAAUCAUUGUUUGUAACUUUAUAGCCGUACUAUAUAACAGAUUAGCCCAUUGCCUUUACGUAGUCGGUAAUGUAUUAUGUUAUAACCCUUCUCAAAUAUCCGGCCACAUCAAACUUAUGAAUUAAAUGAGUCUAUAUUUGUUAUUGUGACGAAGAUAAUGAGCAUAAAUCUGGAUUGAUAUAGUGGAAAUACUUUUACUAUAAUCAGUGCUAACUCUAAUAAUUUGAUAACAUUUGCUAACACUUGGUAAGCCAAAAGGCUGGGUAAAUUCCAUACUCAAAAAACUUCAUUAUUUAACGAAUUUAUACCUAAUUAUAUAUUACACCUAAAAUUGGGCAUUACGUCAUAAUAUUGUGGUUUCCACUAGGAUAUAGUGACGACAAUUUACAAACAGGAUGCGUGAUGGUUUCGGUAAUGCGUAGAUACCAUCAAAGGCGAUUAACACACGGAAAUUACUUAGUAAAUAGUUAUAGAUAGGUUAUUGGUGUGAACAGAUAACACGAGGCUCUUUUGGGAGUGUCUAGUUACCAAAAUAUAAUAAAGCAUUAGUGUAUAGGCUGAAAAACACUUUAUCCGACUCAAAAUAUUUAGUUAUUUUACAGAUGUUAAUAUUAAAGUUGAAAAACAGCUUAACGCCCUGCCCUGCUUCAGGCAUUACAAAUGUGACGGUUUAUACUAUUCUUAUUACUAUUUAUUACAUAAUAUAUUCUAAACAUAUAUUAUUACAAUUUGCAUUCAGUUAUAGGUACCUGACAGUAUAAGUAGGUACAAUUAUUCCUACUGCGAUUGUAGAACUGUUAGAGGGUUACUUGAGAUGUAAAGUAGUUUGGAAGGCAAAACGAAGUAGGCUGGUUUCAUUUAGUAAUAGUAUCCUAAUAGUAUACCUCCUCACUUCACCUUAUUCGGGUCGGGUCAUAUUUGAUGAUAUCCAAUUGUUAAAUGGAAAUAAUAAUUCAUGUGACGUUAUAAACCCUUUAUUUUCCUAAAUCACAUGACCAUAGAGAUGGGAUCUCUGUUCGUAUUACCACUGCGCUUAUAAAUCUUUAUCGUCAUCACCGUUGACAUAAUGGUAUUACAACAAUGCUGAAUUUCAGCAUAUUACAGGUAUGGCUGUCUAGUCUUUUGUAAUAGUUUAUAGUAAAGGUGCAUCUACACGGUUCAUGUAGCUGGGGUAAGAGAUAAGUGACUAGAGCACGCGGGUGGGUAUUUUGGUUUGAUAUAGGUAUGCACAAGUCGCUAGACCAGCGCGUUUUUGAAAUGCAUGUAGCCUGUGCAUGUGCCUCAACGUGCGCAAGCUACUUGCACCGUGUAAAUGUUAACAAGCAGCGUGCAGGAAAGCCAUGGGGAAAUAUUGAUAGUCCUGACACCCAUGCGAUGAACCAACUUUAACAAAUAGUCCUAUUAUCAUUUACCUAGCCUUUUCCUAGCUAUGGUGGGGUCAGCUUCCAGUCUAACAAGAUGCACCUCAGUACCAGUAUUUUACAUAGAGUGAUUGAGACUUUCUGACUUUUCUGACAGCCAUUUUAUCAUGCCUUCCGGAACACGGAGGAACUCGUUAUGACAAGAUGGUCCAUCCAUGAUGAUGAUGGUGGUGAUGAUCCAUGGACCGACCGAGCUAAUCAUUGCGGUCAUAAAACUAUCUUACUAUCGAUUGACCCACACAGCUAUGUGGCUAAGUGACAACUUAACCACGAACUCCGAACAAAAAAUGCAGUCAACUUAGCAAAUGACGUUGAAUGAUAGGUAAUAAGCUACAAACUUGUAUAUUAUACACACCGGUUUUUUAAAUAUUGUUCCCUCAAGUCUCCUUCAAUCACAUGUGCGCGCGCUAAAAGUUCACAAAAAAAUUCACAUACUCAAGAAGAGAUCUUUGUAAGAAGACGAUUCUUGUGACCGCGAUCGCAUGCCAAGGUAUGUACUAUUUUGUAGCUUAUUACCUUAAAUUCUGAUGUGCUAAGUUAAAAUGACUGAUACGUAAUUAUUUAAUUAUUACCUAUAUUUAUUGAUAACUUUUUUUCAGCUUUAUGUGCAAGCUUCUUUGUCAGAUCUGCAGCUUGACGAUGGGUGUCAUGGUCGUCGGUGCGAUCUUCUUUUUAGCAUUCUGGUUCCUUCGAUGGUUAUUUGAUAGCUAAAUCAAGAUUAUAAUUUAGAUUGUAAGUCUAAGUUAUAAGUCAAAGGAUUGACUUUAAGGAUUGGUUUAAGUUAAGACUUAAGUUUUAGUAGUUCGGUUUACAACUGCACGCUUUUGACUAUCAUGACAUGUUGGCGGUUGAAGAUGUCUUCUUUACCAUGAAAAUAUGAUCUUAAAAUAAUUUUAUUCUGGCUCAAGGUAAAAUAAAUAAAUUGUAUUAAACUCUA
Molecule: long non-coding RNA, 4788 nt
Organism: Helicoverpa zea (corn earworm)
Lineage: Eukaryota; Metazoa; Arthropoda; Insecta; Lepidoptera; Noctuidae
Exons: 4
Source: RefSeq, a predicted model, not a curated record